This 332-nucleotide ribosomal RNA is filed under the name uncultured bacterium. RNAcentral's name for it is "bacterial SSU rRNA". It matches the Rfam family "Bacterial small subunit ribosomal RNA", at positions 568 to 898 of the family's 1533-position model. The record is from RNAcentral.
CGCGUAGGCGGUUUAACAAGUCGGAUGUGAAAUCUCCUGGCUUAACUAGGAGGGGUCAUUCGAUACUGUUGAACUAGAGGACAGCAGAAGGAGAUGGAAUUCCCGGUGUAGUGGUGAAAUGCGUAGAUAUCGGGAGGAACACCAGUGGCGAAAGCGGUCUCCUAGGCUGUUGCUGACGCUGAGGUGCGAAAGCGUGGGGAGCGAACAGGAUUAGAUACCCUGGUAGUCCACGCUAUAAACUGUGGACACUAGGUAUGGGGAGUAUCGACCCUCUCUGUGCCGAAGCUAACGCUUUAAGUGUCCCGCCUGGGGACUACGGCCGCAAGGCUAAA